Molecule: ribosomal RNA, 305 nt
Filed under: uncultured bacterium
Lineage: Bacteria
Description: bacterial SSU rRNA
Rfam family: Bacterial small subunit ribosomal RNA
Source: RNAcentral
UUCCUACGGGGGGCAGCAGUGGGGGAUAUUGCACAAUGGGCGAAAGCCUGAUGCAGCGACGCCGCGUGUGGGAAGACGGUCCUCGGAUUGUAAACCACUGGCUUUGGGGACGAUAAUGACGGUACCCAAGGAGGAAGCUCCGGCUAACUACGUGCCAGCAGCCGCGGUAAUACGUAGGGAGCGAGCGUUGUCCGGAAUUACUGGGUGUAAAGGGAGCGUAGGCGGGAUAUCAAGUUGAAUGUGAAAUCUACCGGCUCAACUGGUAGGCUGCGUUCAAAACUGAUAUUCUUGAGUGAAGUAGGGGU